Long non-coding RNA from Gymnogyps californianus (California condor), 502 nucleotides. RefSeq lists it as uncharacterized. Lineage: Eukaryota; Metazoa; Chordata; Aves; Accipitriformes; Cathartidae. The record is from RefSeq and is a predicted model, not a curated record. The transcript has 3 exons.
CGCUUCAAGCUACAUGUGAAGUUACUGUGGAGCCUGCCAUCCCCCGAAGCUUGUAUAAGGAAUGCAGCUGAGUAUGAAGUCCAUGGCAUUCUGGCUGAAGCUCAGAACAAAAGUCAAGAAAGUCCAUCAUCAUCCGUGGAGUUUCCGUUGCUCUGUUUAAUUGAAGACAGAGAGGAAGCAGGAGGAGAGGAAUUAAAAUGUCUUGUUCAAAGUAUCGCUUCUUUGCACUGGAGGAAGGCAGCUGUCUUAAACUGUGAAAUUCUGCUAAUUUCAAUGAAUUGUGGAUAAACUGAGGAUCUGGCUGCGCACAUGUUUUUGUUGCUCAUUAUCACUGCUUUCCUCUUGGUCUCGGGUGAGGAUCUUGACCUUUGUGGUGCAGGCUGCCUAGGUAUAAAAUGCAUGCAGCAUCUCCGUGUGCAAAUUCAUUAUUAUCUUUACAUGGCUUUGAACGAUUCUGUAGAAGUGUGAAGGAGCAUGGUGAAACUGCUAAACUUUCAAAGGU